UACAGAGGGGGCAAGCGUUAUUCGGAAUUAUUGGGCGUAAAGGGCGCGUAGGCGGCCUGACAAAGUGGAAGGUGAAAUCCCUCGGCUUAACCGAGGAACUGCCCUCCAAACUGUUUGGCUUGAGACCGGGAGAGGUGAGUGGAAUUCCCAGUGUAGCGGUGAAAUGCGUAGAUAUUGGGAGGAACACCAGUGGCGAAGGCGGCUCACUGGACCGGUACUGACGCUGAGGCGGCGAAAGCGUGGGGAGCAACGGG
This 254-nucleotide ribosomal RNA is filed under the name uncultured bacterium. RNAcentral's name for it is "partial 16S ribosomal RNA". It matches the Rfam family "Bacterial small subunit ribosomal RNA", at positions 524 to 775 of the family's 1533-position model. The record is from RNAcentral.